UACGUAGGGGGGCAAGCGUUGUCCGGAUUCAUUGGGCGUAAAGCGCGUGUAGGCGGCCAGGUAGGUCUGCUGUGAAAACUCGAGGCUCAACCUCGAGAUGUCGGCGGAAACCACUUGGCUAGAGUCCGGAAGAGGAGAGUGGAAUUCCCGGUGUAGCGGUGAAAUGCGCAGAUAUCGGGGAAGAACACCUAUGGCGAAGGCAGCUCUCUGGGACGGUACUGACGCUGAGACGCGAAAGCGUGGGGAGCGAACAGG
RNAcentral lists this ribosomal RNA (255 nucleotides) under uncultured bacterium. RNAcentral's name for it is "partial 16S ribosomal RNA". It matches the Rfam family "Bacterial small subunit ribosomal RNA", at positions 524 to 776 of the family's 1533-position model. The record is from RNAcentral.